GCAAGUCGGACGGAUGGUUUCGGCCAUCAGUGGCGCACGGGUGAGUAGCGCGUGGGAACCUGCCUUUCAGUGGGGGAUAACCGAGGGAAACUUCGGCUAAUACCGCAUGCGCCCCGGGAAACCGGGGGAAAGAUUGAUCGCUGAGGGAGGGGCCCGCGUCGGAUUAGCUGGUUGGUGGGGUAACGGCCUACCAAGGCGAUGAUCCGUAGCUGGUCUGAGAGGAUGGCCGGCCACACUGGAACUGAGACACGGUCCAGACUCCUACGGGAGGCAGCAGUGGGGAAUCUUGCACAAUGGGCGAAAGCCUGAUGCAGCGACGCCGCGUGGGGGAUGAAGCUUCUCGGAGUGUAAACCCCUUUCGAUCCGGACGAAUGUCCCGCAAGGGAUUGACGGUACGGGUAUUAGAAGCCCCGGCUAACUACGUG
RNAcentral lists this ribosomal RNA (425 nucleotides) under uncultured bacterium. RNAcentral describes it as "bacterial SSU rRNA". It matches the Rfam family "Bacterial small subunit ribosomal RNA", at positions 57 to 507 of the family's 1533-position model. The record is from RNAcentral.